This 460-nucleotide ribosomal RNA is filed under the name uncultured bacterium. RNAcentral describes it as "partial 16S ribosomal RNA". It matches the Rfam family "Bacterial small subunit ribosomal RNA", at positions 338 to 795 of the family's 1533-position model. The record is from RNAcentral.
CCUACGGGAGGCAGCAGUGAGGAAUAUUGGUCAAUGGACGAGAGUCUGAACCAGCCAAGUAGCGUGAAGGAUGACUGCCCUAUGGGUUGUAAACUUCUUUUAUAUGGGAAUAAAAUGUUCCACGUGUGGGAUUUUGUAUGUACCAUAUGAAUAAGGAUCGGCUAACUCCGUGCCAGCAGCCGCGGUAAUACGGAGGAUCCAAGCGUUAUCCGGAUUUAUUGGGUUUAAAGGGAGCGUAGGUGGAUUGUUAAGUCAGUUGUGAAAGUUUGCGGCUCAACCGCAAAAUUGCCGCUGAAACUGGCAGUCUUGAGUACAGUAGAGGUAGGCGGAAUGUGUGGUGUAGCGGUGAAAUGCUUAGAGAUCACGAAGAACUCCGAUUGCGAAGGCAGUUCACUGGACUGCAACUGACACUGAGGCUCGAAAGUGUGGGUAUCAAACAGGAUUAGAUACCCCUGUAGUC